AUUGAACGCUGGCGGCAGGCCUAACACAUGCAAGUCGAACGAGUGGCGGACGGGUGAGUAAUGUCUGGGAAACUGCCUGAUGGAGGGGGAUAACUACUGGAAACGGUAGCUAAUACCGCAUACCAUCGGAUGUGCCCAGAUGGGAUUAGCUAGUAGGUGGGGUAACGGCUCACCUAGGCGACGAUCCCUAGCUGGUCGGAGAGGAGGACCAGCCACACUGGAACUGAGACACGGUCCAUACUCCUACGGGAUGCAGCAGGGGGGAAUAAUUCACAAUGGGCGCAAGCCUGAUGCAGCACUGCCGCGUGUAUGAAGAGGGCCUUCGGGUUGUAAAGUACUUUCAGCGGGGAGGCGUUACCCGCAGAAGAAGCACCGGCUAACUCCGUGCCAGCAGCCGCGGUAAUUC
RNAcentral lists this ribosomal RNA (406 nucleotides) under uncultured bacterium. RNAcentral's name for it is "partial 16S ribosomal RNA". It matches the Rfam family "Bacterial small subunit ribosomal RNA", at positions 30 to 526 of the family's 1533-position model. The record is from RNAcentral.